RNAcentral lists this ribosomal RNA (191 nucleotides) under Williamsia limnetica. Its description in RNAcentral is "partial 16S ribosomal RNA". It matches the Rfam family "Bacterial small subunit ribosomal RNA", at positions 120 to 312 of the family's 1533-position model. Lineage: Bacteria; Bacillati; Actinomycetota; Actinomycetes; Mycobacteriales; Nocardiaceae. The record is from RNAcentral.
GGUGAUCUGCCCCAAACUUUGGGAUAAGCCUGGGAAACUGGGUCUAAUACCGAAUAUGACCACUGGAUGCAUGUCUGGUGGUGGAAAGCUCCGGCGGUUUGGGAUGGGCCCGCGGCCUAUCAGCUUGUUGGUGGGGUAAUGGCCUACCAAGGCGACGACGGGUAGCCGGCCUGAGAGGGCGACCGGCCACA